GAAGAUAUCGAGAGAGUUGCUGUG
This 24-nucleotide non-coding RNA is filed under the name Arabidopsis thaliana (thale cress). Lineage: Eukaryota; Viridiplantae; Streptophyta; Magnoliopsida; Brassicales; Brassicaceae. The record is from RNAcentral.